Macaca fascicularis (crab-eating macaque) is the source of this 1664-nucleotide long non-coding RNA. The record is from Ensembl. Lineage: Eukaryota; Metazoa; Chordata; Mammalia; Primates; Cercopithecidae.
UCUGGACAAGAUCUUUUAUUUCAAUGUAUACAUAAAAUCUUCAGAGCAGUUAACAUCCUUGAAACUUUUGGAUAAAACAUUUAUAUUUUCUACUGCCAUUAAUGGCAGUAAAUCCCGAAUAACGUGUCUCAGAGGUAAAUAGAGAAAACAAGUUCACUUUUAUCUAUGAGAUAUUUUAAUCAAAGAAGAUUAUUUGUUAGCAAUAAAGUUUUUAGUAUUAUAAUGAAACAAAAAAUUAUAAUUGAUAUUUUUAAAAAGUAUUUAUAAAAUUCAAAGUGAUAUUACUUCCUGGACAUUCUUUAAUUUUUCACUUCUUGUCAUACCUACCUAUGUGAUUAUUCUCCACUUUACACAAAGAUAAGACCAGCAAGUAUCUCCAAUUGCAACAGUCGGAUUAAUGUUUCACAUGCUAAAAAUGUUAGUUAUCUCUAAUAGCUAUUUCCACCAUGUCUUAGAUAAGUGUUUAUGAGGAAAAUAACACUUAGCUAAGAUCAUUUUUCAUGAUAAGCAAUUACUUCAUGUAUAUGUGUAUAUUUUACAUAUAUAUGCAAUUAUAUAUAUGCAGUUACACAGAGACAUACACAUAAACACAUAAGACACACAGACACACACAUACAUGCGUGUGUGUGUGUGUGUGUGUAUCCUUUUCCCAUGACGUUUUUCACCUAACAUGCUGGACUAAAAGAGCCGUGGCUUUAGCUUCAGUACCAUUGUAACCAUUACCAGCUUUGAGAAUACGCUGUAUUUAUUUCCAAAUAUCAAAACAUAUUUAUCUUUUGGUAAAAUUGAGCAACAUCUAGACAUGUUUUCUCUUCUUUCCUAUAAUAUAUUCCCUAGUACCUAAAAAUUACCACUCAGAGGAAAUAAUAAACCUGAUCACAGGCAUAUGGAAGACAUGGAGAAAGCCCAAGUGCCCUGAUACUAGCUGGAAGAGCCGCAGAGUCAUCCCUGAGCACUUGUUUGAAAUGCACCACUUCAGACCCCUCACCCCCAAAGACUGACAAAAAUCCAAAUUUGCAUUUUAACAAGAUUUCCAUUUCAUUUAUUUGCAGGCAUCUCUGCAGUUAUUUGCAGGUAGUCUCCUUUUCCCUCCAGUUGCUGCAGCCAGAUAGAUACUUGAUAUUAGAAGAUAGGAAGCUAUAUUAAAAUAUAGAGACUCUACGGUUAGGGCAGAAUUCUUAGGGCAGUAUUAGUCUCAAUUUUUCUUUCUUCACCUAAAGAUUAGCAGCAGAAAUUUAGUGGGGAUACUUUAAAAAUAUUAAAUCAUGAGUUAUAAAGCCAAUUAAUACCUGUAUUGGAGGAGUCACACCUCCAGUAUUUCAUGAACAUAAAAUAUUCAGAAAAAAAACUCAAUAGUAAAAAAAUAUUUUGAGGGGUGUUUCACAAACUGUGUUUCAUGAAUCAACAGGUUCAUAAUGUAUUGCUCUUCAGAUUCCUUGAGGAUUUCAGGUCCAAACAAUUUUAGUAAACAGCACAAUAUAUGCUCCUCUUGGAGUUUUGCAGUGCAUUCUCUGAAAUCCUACAGUUUAAAAAUCUGUGUUGUAUUUCAUUUCACAUCUCCUAAAUGUAUUUAAACUUAGAACCAUCUUUUUUUUUUUUUUUUUUUUUUUUGAGAAAGAGUUUCGCUCUUGUUGCCCAGGCUGGAGUGCAAUGCCAUCUCUUUU